Molecule: ribosomal RNA, 253 nt
Filed under: uncultured bacterium
Lineage: Bacteria
Description: partial 16S ribosomal RNA
Rfam family: Bacterial small subunit ribosomal RNA
Source: RNAcentral
UACGGAGGGUGCAAGCGUUAUUCGGAAUUACUGGGCGUAAAGCGCACGUAGGCGGCCUUGUAAGUCAGGGGUGAAAUCCCACGGCUCAACCGUGGAACUGCCCUUGAAACUGCGGGGCUUGAAUCCUGGAGAGGGUGGCGGAAUUCCUGGUGUAGGAGUGAAAUCCGUAGAUAUCAGGAGGAACACCGGUGGCGAAGGCGGCCACCUGGACAGGCAUUGACGCUGAGGUGCGAAAGUGUGGGGAGCAAACAGG